This 257-nucleotide unclassified non-coding RNA is filed under the name Hevea brasiliensis (rubber tree). The record is from RNAcentral. Lineage: Eukaryota; Viridiplantae; Streptophyta; Magnoliopsida; Malpighiales; Euphorbiaceae.
GUUCAGUUGAAUGCAGGAAUGGUACUUGUACAGUUCUUUUAUUCUUGCAACUUCCUAUUGUUGCCAAUCUCGGAGUUAAAAGAGCUGCAUGUUCACUUCACUGCAAGAGUCUGUCGAAGCUCUGGAUUUGAUGCAAUAUCACAAGUAUUAAACCUACCUGCCAUGCAGACAGACUGAUUCAUUUUGGCAUGCGGUGCACCCUAAUUGGCCAGGCUAUCUCUAGGUGCAACUGGUAAUGACAUUCUUGUUUGGAAGAG